This 456-nucleotide ribosomal RNA is filed under the name uncultured bacterium. RNAcentral describes it as "SSU rRNA". It matches the Rfam family "Bacterial small subunit ribosomal RNA", at positions 28 to 497 of the family's 1533-position model. The record is from RNAcentral.
GACGAACGCUGGCGGCGCGCCUAACACAUGCAAGUCGAACGAGAGAGAAGGAGCUUGCUUCUUUAAUCGAGUGGCGAACGGGUGAGUAACGCGUGAGGAACCUGCCUCAAAGAGGGGGACAACAGUUGGAAACGACUGCUAAUACCGCAUAAGCCCACGGGUCGGCAUCGACCAGAGGGAAAAGGAGUGAUCCGCUUUGAGAUGGCCUCGCGUCCGAUUAGCUGGUUGGUGAGGUAACGGCCCACCAAGGCGACGAUCGGUAGCCGGACUGAGAGGUUGAACGGCCACAUUGGGACUGAGACACGGCCCAGACUCCUACGGGAGGCAGCAGUGGGGAAUAUUGCACAAUGGGGGAAACCCUGAUGCAGCGACGCCGCGUGGAGGAAGAAGGUUUUCGGAUUGUAAACUCCUGUUGUUGAGGAAGAUAAUGACGGUACUCAACAAGGAAGUGACGGC